UAGUCCACACCGUAAACGAUGAGAGCUAGUUGUCUGCAGGCAUGCCUGUAGGUGCGCAGCUAACGCGAUAAGUUGUCCGCCUGGGGAGUACGGCCGCAAGGCUAAAACUCAAAUGAAUUGACGGGGGCCCGCACAAGCGGUGGAGCAUGUUGUUUAAUUCGAUGCAACGCGAAGAACCUUACCACCCCUUGACAUCCUCAGAACUUGUUAGAAAUAACUUGGUGCCUUCGGGAACUGAGUGACAGGUGCUGCAUGGCUGUCGUCAGCUCGUGUCGUGAGAUGUUGGGUUAAGUCCCGUAACGAGCGCAACCCUUGUCCUUAUUUGCCAGCGAGUAAUGUCGGGAACUCUAAGGAGACUGCCGGUGACAAACCGGAGGAAGGUGGGGAUGACGUCAAGUCAUCAUGGCCCUCACGGGGUGGGCUACAAACGUGCUACAAUGGUCGAUACAAAGGGCUGCAAACUCGCGAGAGUAAGCGAAUCCCAGAAAACCGAUCGUAGUCCGGAUAGG
Molecule: ribosomal RNA, 509 nt
Filed under: uncultured bacterium
Lineage: Bacteria
Description: bacterial SSU rRNA
Rfam family: Bacterial small subunit ribosomal RNA
Source: RNAcentral